RNAcentral lists this long non-coding RNA (503 nucleotides) under Cricetulus griseus (Chinese hamster). RNAcentral describes it as "lncRNA (ENSCGRG00015038012.1)". Lineage: Eukaryota; Metazoa; Chordata; Mammalia; Rodentia; Cricetidae. The record is from RNAcentral.
CUGGCCUCUGCACAGACGAGACGUCCCUACCAUGCAAUAGGUGUAGAGCUGUUCUCACGGUGCAGCUUUGAUUUCAUGGCUAAGCACCCUCCCUCCCCAGCAUCCAGUGGCCCCAGCAUUCUGUGUCUCCAGCAUCCUCUGUCCCCAGCAUCCUCUGUCCCCAGAAUUCAGUCUCCAACAUGGAAUGGACCCAGCAUCUGCUAUCCCAGUAUCUGUUGCCUGCAUUGUCUCCUCCCUGGAUUAACACGGGGAAGUUCUGACCAUUCAAUGAUGUCUAAUUUUUCUUUCCAAACACUGAUUGAGCUAAACCUCUCUGGAAACCCUCACAGACCAGCCCUGAGGUGUGUCUCCUGGGUAAUACCCAUUCCCACCAAGUUGACAGUGAAAUUUCUCUGCAAUUACAUCAUCCUUGCAAACCCCUUCCCUUGCGGACCACAGCUAUAUGAAGACCCAGAGAUCCUGUCAACUGCCUGUUAACCUCUCUGCCACACUGUUGUCACAGU